Molecule: transfer RNA, 120 nt
Filed under: Nitrososphaerota archaeon
Lineage: Archaea; Thermoproteati; Nitrososphaerota
Description: tRNA-Ser
Rfam family: tRNA
About the family: Transfer RNA (tRNA) molecules are approximately 80 nucleotides in length. Their secondary structure includes four short double-helical elements and three loops (D, anti-codon, and T loops).
Source: RNAcentral
GCCGGGGUGGCGGAGUCUGGCUAACGCGCGGGCCUCGAGAGCCCGUGACCCUUGGGUCAUGUGGGUUCAAAGCUCGCAGGGAUCCUCUGGGUACCUCGAGUGGAAGUCCCACCCCCGGCG